GACGAACGCUGGCGGCGUGCUUAACACAUGCAAGUCGAACGGAAAGGCCCUGCUUUUGUGGGGUGCUCGAGUGGCGAACAGGUGAGUAACACGUGAGUAACCUGCCCUUGACUUUGGGAUAACUUCAGGAAACUGGGGCUAAUACCGGAUAGGAGCUCCUGCUGCAUGGUGGGGGUUGGAAAGUUUCGGCGGUUGGGGAUGGACUCGCGGCUUAUCAGCUUGUUGGUGGGGUAGUGGCUUACCAAGGCUUUGACGGGUAGCCGGCCUGAGAGGGUGACCGGCCACAUUGGGACUGAGAUAGGGCCCAGACUCCUACGGGGGGCAGCAGUGGGGAAUAUUGCACAAUGGGCGGAAGCCUGAUGCAGCAACGCCGCGUGCGGGAUGACGGCCUUCGGGUUGUAAACCGCUUUCGCCUGUGACGAAGCGUGAGUGACGGUAAUGGGUAAAGAAGCACCGGCUAACUACGUG
RNAcentral lists this ribosomal RNA (468 nucleotides) under uncultured bacterium. Its description in RNAcentral is "partial 16S ribosomal RNA". It matches the Rfam family "Bacterial small subunit ribosomal RNA", at positions 28 to 507 of the family's 1533-position model. The record is from RNAcentral.